RNAcentral lists this long non-coding RNA (822 nucleotides) under Salvator merianae (Argentine black and white tegu). Its description in RNAcentral is "lncRNA (ENSSMRG00000013436.1)". The record is from RNAcentral. Lineage: Eukaryota; Metazoa; Chordata; Lepidosauria; Squamata; Teiidae.
CUGCCUCUCCUUUCUCUGGGGAGAUACGGGAACAAGCCAAUGAGAAGAGGAAGACCAUGCUGUGAAAUUGCUUAUGUCAUCCUGUGGGUGGAACAUCUCCUGUUGCCUCCUGUUAUAUAUCUGACCUAAAUGUCCCAAACAGUUGUGCUUAGUGUGCAUUGUAAUCGAUCCUACAUCUUCUCUUCUCCACCAUGCAGCUGAUAUUUGCCUUUCUGCUCCUUACCAUAGCACCUUGUAGCGUCUUCUCUGAUUAUGAAGAAUGUGAGUCAUUUAUGAAAUUUUUCAAUGCAAAAUUUUAUGGACCGGUCUCAGCCUAUGUAACGGAAGUUAAAAAAUAUACUAAUAGUGAAAGUGCAAUAGAAGCUGCACUAGAUGUGAGGCACCUUGUUGACACAUUUCCAGAAGACAAAAAAAAUAAAUAUGCAGAUUUUGUGAAAAGUUUAAUGAAGGAAUGUAUAAUAUCCAAGAAGAAUUAGAUGAAGUCAAGGUUCUUACCAAUGUAAUCCCUUUAAGGAUUUUUUGCAAGCAAAAAUGCAUGGAUCAGAUUUGGACUAUUUGGAACAAAUUGAAAAAUACACUGAUAGCAAAAUUGCAAAAGAUGUUGCAAUUAAUGUAAAGCAUCUUAUUGACACUUUUCCAGAGAAUAAGACAUCUAAAUAUCAAGCCUUGCUGGUAAUUAUAAUACUUGCCAUUUCUGGAUGUACUUAUGUACUUAUAUCCACCCCAAUAUAUAAUUAUAUUAUUUUGCUUUUAAAGUACUGUUUGGAUAUGUAGUUUAAAGGUCAUAAAAUAAAACCUGAUGAUCUGAAAGGUAUAUAAACA